AGUGAACGCUGGCGGUAGGCCUAACACAUGCAAGUCGAACGGCAGCACAGUAAGAGCUUGCUCUUACGGGUGGCGAGUGGCGGACGGGUGAGGAAUACAUCGGAAUCUACUUUUUCGUGGGGGAUAACGUAGGGAAACUUACGCUAAUACCGCAUACGACCUACGGGUGAAAGCAGGGGAUCUUCGGACCUUGCGCGAUUGAAUGAGCCGAUGUCGGAUUAGCUAGUUGGCGGGGUAAAGGCCCACCAAGGCGACGAUCCGUAGCUGGUCUGAGAGGAUGAUCAGCCACACUGGAACUGAGACACGGUCCAGACUCCUACGGGAGGCAGCAGUGGGGAAUAUUGGACAAUGGGCGCAAGCCUGAUCCAGCCAUACCGCGUGGGUGAAGAAGGCCUUCGGGUUGUAAAGCCCUUUUGUUGGGAAAGAAAAGCAGCAGGUUAAUACCCCGCUGUUCUGACGGUACCCAUAGAAUAAGCACCGGCUAACUUCGU
RNAcentral lists this ribosomal RNA (491 nucleotides) under uncultured bacterium. RNAcentral describes it as "partial 16S ribosomal RNA". It matches the Rfam family "Bacterial small subunit ribosomal RNA", at positions 29 to 506 of the family's 1533-position model. The record is from RNAcentral.